GACGAACGCUGGCGGCGUGCCUAAUACAUGCAAGUUGAGCGCUGAAGACUGGUACUUGUACCGGUUGGAUGAGCAGCGAACGGGUGAGUAACGCGUGGGUAACCUGCCCUAUAGAGGGGGAUAACUAGAGGAACCUUUAGCUAAUACCGCAUAAAAUCUAAUAACACAUGUUAUAAGAUUGAAAGUGCCAAUUGGUACACUAUAGGAUGGACCCGCGUUGUAUUAGCUAGUUGGUGAGGUAAAGGCUCACCAAGGCGAUGAUACAUAGCCGACCUGAGAGGGUGAUCGGCCACACUGGGACUGAGACACGGCCCAGACUCCCACGGGAGGCAGCAGUAGGGAAUCUUCGGCAAUGGACGAAAGUCUGACCGAGCAACGCCGCGUGAGUGAAGAAGGUUUUCGGAUCGUAAAACUCUGUUGUAAGAGAAGAACACCAGUAAGAGUGGAAAGCUUACUGGCUGACGGUAUCUUACCAGAAAGCCACGGCUAACUACGUGCCAGCCGCCGCGGUAA
Molecule: ribosomal RNA, 513 nt
Filed under: uncultured bacterium
Lineage: Bacteria
Description: partial 16S ribosomal RNA
Rfam family: Bacterial small subunit ribosomal RNA
Source: RNAcentral